UACAGAGGUCCCGAGCGUUGUUCGGAUUCAUUGGGCGUAAAGGGUGCGUAGGCGGUUUUUUAAGUUUGAUGUGAAAUCCCGGGGCUUAACCCUGGAAUGGCAUUGAAUACUGAAGAACUAGAGUACUGGAGAGGAAACUGGAAUUUACGGUGUAGCAGUGAAAUGCGUAGAGAUCGUAAGGAAGACCAGUGGCGAAGGCGAGUUUCUGGACAGUUACUGACGCUGAGGCACGAAGGCCAGGGGAGCAAACGGG
This 253-nucleotide ribosomal RNA is filed under the name uncultured bacterium. RNAcentral describes it as "partial 16S ribosomal RNA". It matches the Rfam family "Bacterial small subunit ribosomal RNA", at positions 524 to 776 of the family's 1533-position model. The record is from RNAcentral.